UAAAGAGGUGGCGAGCGUUAAUCGGAAUUACUGGGCGUAAAGCGCACGUAGGUGGCGACGUAAGUCGGGUGUGAAAGCCCCGGGCUCAACCUGGGAAUUGCAUUCGAGACUGCAUUGCUGGAGUACGGAAGAGGAGGGCGGAAUUCCCGGUGUAGCGGUGAAAUGCGUAGAUAUCGGGAGGAACAUCAGUGGCGAAGGCGGCCCUCUGGUCCAGUACUGACACUCAAGUGCGAAAGCGUGGGGAGCAAACAGG
Molecule: ribosomal RNA, 253 nt
Filed under: uncultured bacterium
Lineage: Bacteria
Description: partial 16S ribosomal RNA
Rfam family: Bacterial small subunit ribosomal RNA
Source: RNAcentral